This 1550-nucleotide ribosomal RNA is filed under the name uncultured Corynebacterium sp. RNAcentral describes it as "partial 16S ribosomal RNA". It matches the Rfam family "Bacterial small subunit ribosomal RNA". Lineage: Bacteria; Bacillati; Actinomycetota; Actinomycetes; Mycobacteriales; Corynebacteriaceae. The record is from RNAcentral.
GAGUUUGAUYCUGGCUCAGGACGAACGCUGGCGGCGUGCUUAACACAUGCAAGUCGAACGGAAAGGCCCCCACCAUUUUUGGUGGGGGUGCUCGAGCGGCGAACGGGUGAGUAACACGUGGGUGAUCUGCCCUGUACUUCGGGAUAAGCUUGGGAAACUGGGUCUAAUACCGGAUAGGACCAUGGUUUAGUGUCUCAUGGUGGAAAAAUUAUUGUUUUGGUGCAGGAUGAGCUCGCGGCCUAUCAGCUUGUUGGUGGGGUAAUGGCCUACCAAGGCGUCGACGGGUAGCCGGCCUGAGAGGGUGGACGGCCACAUUGGGACUGAGAUACGGCCCAGACUCCUACGGGAGGCAGCAGUGGGGAAUAUUGCACAAUGGGCGCAAGCCUGAUGCAGCGACGCCGCGUGAGGGAUGGAGGCCUUCGGGUUGUGAACCUCUUUCGCCAGUGAAGAAGGUCCUGCUCUUUGUGGUGGGGUCGACGGUAGCUGGGUUAAUGAAGCGCCGGCUAACUACGUGCCAGCAGCCGCGGUAAUACGUAGGGCGCGAGCGUUGUCCGGAAUUAUUGGGCGUAAAGGGCUUGUAGGCGGCUGGUCGCGUCUGCCGUGAAAUCCUCUGGCUCAGCUGGGGGCGUGCGGUGGGUACGGGCUGGCUUGAGUGCGGUAGGGGAGACUGGAACUCCUGGUGUAGCGGUGGAAUGCGCAGAUAUCAGGAGGAACACCGGUGGCGAAGGCGGGUCUCUGGGCCGUUACUGACGCUGAGGAGCGAAAGCGUGGGGAGCGAACAGGAUUAGAUACCCUGGUAGUCCACGCUGUAAACGUUGGGCACUAGGUGUGGGGGGCCUUUUCCGGGUUUUCCGCGCCGUAGCUAACGCAUUAAGUGCCCCGCCUGGGGAGUACGGCCGCAAGGCUAAAACUCAAAGGAAUUGACGGGGGCCCGCACAAGCGGCGGAGCAUGCGGAUUAAUUCGAUGCAACGCGAAGAACCUUACCUGGGUUUGACAUGCACCAGACGGUUGUAGAGAUACGUACCUCCCUUUGUGGUUGGUGUGCAGGUGGUGCAUGGUUGUCGUCAGCUCGUGUCGUGAGAUGUUGGGUUAAGUCCCGCAACGAGCGCAACCCUUGUCUUAUGUUGCCAGCACUUUGGGUGGGGACUCAUGAGAGACUGCCGGGGUUAACUCGGAGGAAGGUGGGGAUGACGUCAAAUCAUCAUGCCCUUUAUGCCCAGGGCUUCACACAUGCUACAAUGGUUAGUACAACGCGCUGCGAACCUGUGAGGGUGAGCGAAUCGCUGAAAGCUAAUCUCAGUUCGGAUUGGGGUCUGCAACUCGACCCCAUGAAGUCGGAGUCGCUAGUAAUCGCAGAUCAGCAAUGCUGCGGUGAAUACGUUCCCGGGCCUUGUACACACCGCCCGUCACGUCAUGAAAGUUGGUAACACCCGAAGCCCAUGGCCUAACCACCAUUUGGUGGGGGGAGUGGUCGAAGGUGGGAUUGGCGAUUGGGACGAAGUCGUAACAAGGUAGCCGUACCGGAAGGUGCGGYUGGAWCACCUCCUUC